AAGGAAAGAAAAAAAGAAAAGAAGAAAGAAGAAAUAAAUAAAUAAAUAAACAAAUGCAUAUAUAAAUAUAUCUAUGAAUGAACAAAUAAAGAAAUAAAUAAAUAAUUAAGAUAAUAACUAAAUAUAUUUAAAUGAAAUAAAAUAAUAAAUAAAUAAAUAAGAAGGGAGGAGAAGAAGAGAAGAAAAAAGAAAAGAAAAAAAAGAAGAAAAAGGGAAAAAAAGAAAAGAAAAAAGGAAGAAAAGAAGAAAAGAAAAAAAAUAAAUAAACAAAUAAUUAUAUCUACGAAUGAAUGGAUAAAGAAAGAAAUAAAUAAUUAAGAUAAUAAUUAAAUAUAUUUCAAUGAAAUAAAAUAAAAAUAAAUAAAUAAGAAGGGAGGAGAAGAAUAGAAAAAAAGAAAAGAAAAAAAAGAAAGAAAGGGAAAGAAAAAGAAGAAAAAAAAGAAGAAAAAGGAAAUAAAAAGAAGAGAAGGAAAGAAAAAGAAGAAAAGAAAAGAAAAAGAAAGAAAAAGAAAAAUAAUCAC
RNAcentral lists this long non-coding RNA (521 nucleotides) under Phoenix dactylifera (date palm). RNAcentral describes it as "long non-coding RNA (PDAC_LNC015050)". Lineage: Eukaryota; Viridiplantae; Streptophyta; Magnoliopsida; Arecales; Arecaceae. The record is from RNAcentral.